This is a long non-coding RNA of Odocoileus virginianus texanus, 2539 nucleotides long. RefSeq lists it as uncharacterized. The record is from RefSeq and is a predicted model, not a curated record. Lineage: Eukaryota; Metazoa; Chordata; Mammalia; Artiodactyla; Cervidae.
GCUCAUCUCUGCUCCGUCUCCAGCACGUGUGACCGCGGGCCUUCAUCGGGUAAACGUCAGCACAUGCGGCAGGCCCUCUUCUGUUCAGCACAGGCUCGGAUCGUAGAGACGACGCGUUUCAGGAUUUCCUUUGGAAAACAUUCAGGGUGCUUCCUUCAGCAUGUGAUUUACCCUCCGGGAGUGAGCCUCCUGUCCUCUAGAGGCUGGAAAGCCUAAUCCACACGUGACCAGAGGCUCUGCCCAUCAGACCAACCACACGCUUCUUGGGGGCAAGUCUGAAGAGCCAGGCCCUUAGGAGUUGGCUCCAUGGCCACAGGCUGGCCCUUGGGCACAGUUAUGGAACUGGCCCUUCACCUAGCCACCAGCAUCGGGGGCCAGGGUGGCCGCAGUGGGAUUCCUGCUGGAACCCUGUCCCACAGCUUCUCCUCGGCACACGACUCCCGGAUCUAUGGCUUCCAAGCUCGUGGUCACACUUCUGGAGACAUUGUGGGCUAAGGAGUCCUCUGCAGUAGAACCCACCGGAGUGGACUCUGAUGUCUGCGUGCAGGAACCCCAACCCAUUCCUGCAUGGAUCGCUGCUUCCAGCUCCUUCUCCUCACCACACACAGGAUUCUGGCAUCUCAGCUUCAUUCAGCACCAGCUCUCACCGAGUCCAGGUUGCCGUCAACAAUUGGGAAAUCAACUAGUCCAUUCCCAGGUCCAGCGUCUUCAAAUAGAUACCCUUACACAGUCUUCAAGUUUUCUUUCUGUUACCAAUGAUGACCUUGAAUUUCUUUUAGAGGAAAAGAAAAGGCUUUCUGCUGAGGACUUGUCAGACUCUCCGUUAUGAUUGACAUUGGUAUUUUUUUUCAAGUAUUGAAUUUUAUGGGAACUGUCAGCUUUUGACUCAAAAAGAGACUUUUUAUGCUUUGUGGCACGUUCCAUGUCAUUUCCGCCGGAUCCAGGGCCACGUUUAUUUCGGGCUUAUUAGUUCCAAGCCCAUAACUCACUGUUUGCAUUUCGAAUGUGAUGUCUGCAAGUUUUCAAGUUUUCUACUCUUAUUCCCCAUUGGGAAUUCCUCACAAGACAGAUACUGACACUCGAACCACCAGGAACAGCUCUCCUUGCGAGUCUGCAAUGUGUGCUAAGAAGUGUGUCGUUGACGGAAGUAAGCCAGCAAGAUCUCGCCCAUGCAGCUGGCCUCCAGUGAGCUCUGGGGCUUGUGGGGGGGCCCACACUACAGGGGACAGAGGCCCCGGCCGCUUGCUGUGCACCCUGCCUGCCUGUGUCUGUCUGUCUGCCUCUCUCUUGUCCCCUUGUGAUCACAGGUGUGCAGAGAAGAUGAGGCCAUUCGUCAGGACGUGACAGCGAGUGCCCUGCUCCACGCCUGGCCCACUGGCCGCUAUGGGGCCGCCUGGGACUCAAGUCCUGGUCUUGGGUACUGCCCAGGCAGAAUCCAUUCUCAUUUCCUGGAACCGCCUGGAAAGUCACUUGGACUCAUCAACUGAUGCAGCUGGGUGGAAGGACUGACAAGUUGGCUGUCUCUCAGGAAAGGGUAGCGAGGUGAGGCUCGCCCUUUCUGCCUUGUUGCACAUGUAUGCAGGAUGGCAGAGAGAUGCAGCCUUCCACUGGAACCUCCAAGGCACCUGUGCACUCCGGGACUCUGUCUUCUCCCCUCUCCCAGCUCACCAAGCUUCCCACUACUGGGGUUUUUAAGCAGCUUACCAUGAAGGGGCUGGUCGGCUGCAGCUGAGUGGCAGCAGGACCACCGCCUUUGUCCACAGCGAUUUGCAGAGCAGACACUUCGAGUCAGCACAUGGAGGCCUUUUGAUGGAAUUGCUCCUUUUCUCCUCCUCCCAUACUCCAAAGCUUCACAUUUGCAACAUUCUUUGGCCUUCAGCAUUAUUUCAUGGACUCCCUUCAACAGUUCUGAGUUCCUCUCUGCUUGUUAUAGAAAAUGACAUGGUACUUUUUUUUUAAGCAGUGAAACUUCUGAAAUCAUUUAUGGACUGUUUUUAAAAGCACACAGCUUGGGAGCCAAGUGGUGCUUCACAGUGUUCUAGAACUAGGUUUUUCUGUGUCCCGGGGCCCCACUGGCCACCUUAACUGACACAUUCUUCUCCACAUCAAGGCAAGAUUCAAGAAUUGUUAAUGCUAAAAGAUGCUAAAUGGUUUUGCCAUCUGCAUUUGCUUUAUCUUCUUUCUUCUGUAUACAAAAUGAAAGAGACAUUCCUUCAAGUGAAAUCAUCUGAUUCAAGAUGACCCAUCACUGACCUCUGUGUUUCUGUGAUAAGUACUCCAGCUAUACAAAUGGAAAUGUUUAGUCUGCAUUUGUCUCAGAGAGUAGCAGGUGGCAGAGUCCACCUCAGGACACCUUGGUUUUUCGGAAUCAGUGCCCCAUACUGCCGAUCUUUAAUUUUGUUCUUUGUUCUUAGAUUAAUGUAUUCUGCCUUGAAAUGGAUCUUGUUUACUCAACUGUCCCCUUUUGAGACUUACAGGGCUUCCCUGUUUGCUCAGACUAUAAAAAAUCUGCCUGCAAUACAGGAGACCUGGCUUUGAU